UCUUGGUCAUUUAGAGGAAGUAAAAGUCGUAACAAGGUUUCCGUAGGUGAACCUGCGGAAGGAUCAUUAUCGAAAAUACAGGGCUGUUGCUGGUCCUCAGGACAUGUGCACGCCUGUUGUUUUUAUUUUUCCAACUGUGCACUUGUUGUAGACCUGGAGUCUUUUUAUUGUUGGAAUAGAUUUAGGACUGCCAUGUGGCUUUGCCUUGCAUUUCCAGGUCUAUGUUGUAAUAUUUUUCACACAAAUGAAUGUUGAGUACUGGGGAACAUGAAAUAAUACAACUUUCAGCAACGGAUCUCUUGGCUCUCGCAUCGAUGAAGAACGCAGCGAAAUGCGAUAAGUAAUGUGAAUUGCAGAAUUCAGUGAAUCAUCGAAUCUUUGAACGCAUCUUGCGCUCCUUGGUAUUCUGAGGAGCAUGCCUGUUUGAGUGUCAUGAGAAGUUCUCAACCACNCCGGUUUUCUUCGUCGGUGUAGCUUGGAUUUGAGGGUUUUUGCAGGCUUUGAACAGAAGCCGGCUCCCUUGAAAAGGAUGAGUGGUAUAUCUGCUCACCAUGGGUGUGAUAAUUGUGUCUAUSCCUUGNNGUAUGCAGGANCCAACAKAGUAGUUUUUUUUGACGAAUUUGACCUCAAAUCAGGUAG
RNAcentral lists this ribosomal RNA (639 nucleotides) under Inocybe sp. 4 RT-2012. RNAcentral's name for it is "eukaryotic LSU rRNA". The stretch from base 280 to 433 matches the Rfam family "5.8S ribosomal RNA". Lineage: Eukaryota; Fungi; Basidiomycota; Agaricomycetes; Agaricales; Inocybaceae. The record is from RNAcentral.